RNAcentral lists this ribosomal RNA (425 nucleotides) under uncultured bacterium. RNAcentral describes it as "partial 16S ribosomal RNA". It matches the Rfam family "Bacterial small subunit ribosomal RNA", at positions 354 to 796 of the family's 1533-position model. The record is from RNAcentral.
GUGGGGAAUAUUGGGCAAUGGGCGAAAGCCUGACCCAGCAACGCCGCGUGAAGGAAGAAGGUCUUCGGAUCGUAAACUUCUAUCCUUGGUGAAGAUAAUGACGGUAGCCGAGAAGGAAGCCCCGGCUAACUACGUGCCAGCAGCCGCGGUAAUACGUAGGGGGCAAGCGUUGUCCGGAAUGAUUGGGCGUAAAGGGCGCGUAGGCGGCCUGGUAAGUCUGGAGUGAAAGUCCUGCUUUUAAGGUGGGAAUUGCUUUUGAUACUGUCGGGCUUGAGUGCAGGAGAGGUAAGUGGAAUUCCCGGUGUAGCGGUGAAAUGCGUAGAGAUCGGGAGGAACACCAGUGGCGAAGGCGACUUACUGGACUGUAACUGACGCUGAGGCGCGAAAGUGUGGGGAGCAAACAGGAUUAGAUACCCGAGUAGUCC